This 729-nucleotide ribosomal RNA is filed under the name Salmonella enterica subsp. enterica serovar Infantis. RNAcentral's name for it is "partial 23S ribosomal RNA". It matches the Rfam family "Bacterial large subunit ribosomal RNA", at positions 2214 to 2925 of the family's 2925-position model. The record is from RNAcentral. Lineage: Bacteria; Pseudomonadati; Pseudomonadota; Gammaproteobacteria; Enterobacterales; Enterobacteriaceae.
UUGAUGUUCUAACGUGGAUCCGUAAUCCGGGUUGCGGACAGUGUCUGGUGGGUAGUUUGACUGGGGCGGUCUCCUCCUAAAGAGUAACGGAGGAGCACGAAGGUUGGCUAAUCCUGGUCGGACAUCAGGAGGUUAGUGCAAUGGCAUAAGCCAGCUUGACUGCGAGCGUGACGGCGCGAGCAGGUGCGAAAGCAGGUCAUAGUGAUCCGGUGGUUCUGAAUGGAAGGGCCAUCGCUCAACGGAUAAAAGGUACUCCGGGGAUAACAGGCUGAUACCGCCCAAGAGUUCAUAUCGACGGCGGUGUUUGGCACCUCGAUGUCGGCUCAUCACAUCCUGGGGCUGAAGUAGGUCCCAAGGGUAUGGCUGUUCGCCAUUUAAAGUGGUACGCGAGCUGGGUUUAGAACGUCGUGAGACAGUUCGGUCCCUAUCUGCCGUGGGCGCUGGAGAACUGAGGGGGGCUGCUCCUAGUACGAGAGGACCGGAGUGGACGCAUCACUGGUGUUCGGGUUGUCAUGCCAAUGGCACUGCCCGGUAGCUAAAUGCGGAAGAGAUAAGUGCUGAAAGCAUCUAAGCACGAAACUUGCCCCGAGAUGAGUUCUCCCUGAGACUUAGAGUCUCCUGAAGGAACGUUGAAGACGACGACGUUGAUAGGCCGGGUGUGUAAGCGCAGCGAUGCGUUGAGCUAACCGGUACUAAUGAACCGUGAGGCUUAACCUUACAACGCCGAAG